CUCUUUGAGCGCCAAUCUCUUACACGCGUUUCUCCUUCUUUUUUUCUUAAUUCAUCAUUACCUCUCUCCAAUCUAGAUCUCCGUUUUUUCAUCUUCUCCUCCAACCUCUGUAAUCCAUCAUCCUCUAUUCAAACAUCCAUUCUUUUGUUUUCACUCUCGCUGAAUCAAUCAAUCUCUAUUGAAUUGGAGUUACCUUUUUUAUUCUUCCAUUUGAUUGAGGGUUGUUACAAUAAAAAACCCUAAAUUCAGUGUUUCCUUUCAUCCUUUGCCUCCCAAUUGAAAGAACCCUAGAUCUCAUCUCUGUACCUGGUUAUGAUCAAUUAUGAUCAAUCUUCAAAGUCUACCCAUCGGUACUUAUGUCAUCUUCCUCAAGAUCUACAUAUAUAAUGAGAACGGUUUGCGUGUUUGAAAGUCCCAAAGGAACAAAAAUUUUCAAAAGUUGCUAGGGAUUUGAUUUUUCAUUUUCCAUGUGAUGUGGAAUCAAGGUUAGGUACCGGUGGAAUUGAGGAAACAAAGGUAAAUCAAUUUGAGUUCGGACAAUCUUAACACAGGUAUUACAUUGGCAUUGCAUUUUGUUAUUAACUGAGGUAGUAAUUUUUGUCAUUUUUUUGAGCAUUAUGUUCUUUGCAAUGUUUUGUAUGUAGGCCAAACUGUAGACAAGUUGUUAGUAAAUGGAUUUUCUGAUUCGUGAGGUUCGAAAGGCUAAAUUAUUUCCAAAGCAACAUCACCAGCCUUAUGUAUGAUAUGCUUGAAUGACCGAAUUGAAUGGAAAAAUUACUUAUGUUAGUUAAUAUAAAUGAAUGUUUUUUUUUCUUUCCUGUUUUAUGUGUUAUAUAUCUAGAUGACUCAAUGUUCUCAGCUAAGAUGUGUAUUGGUUGUAGGUGAAGGGGUCAACUUAAGUCAAACUUCAUUUGCAGUUGUAGUGUUUUUGAAGCGGAAGUUUCAAAGAUGGAAAACAAGAAUUGAACCAUUUAUGAACCUUCAUUAUAUCGAGUUUCCUCAAGAAUUUGAAGACAGAUGCGCGUCUUGAUUAAUAUGAUGCAAGAAUCCAUUCACAUUUUCUUUAUAACAUCAAUUAAUGGUUCGGAUCUUUUUAGAGAGAAGUCCAACUUUGACUUUUUGAGUUAUGCAUGUAUGGGUAGUGAUGUGGUGCUUAGGGCGGACUUCUAGCAUGUAUCAAGUUUUCAUAUCUUGGUCAUACCAUACUCAUUUUUUAGAUGUAUAUCAUGUGCCGCCCUGAUGGAAGAGAUAGAAGCAUUGGUUAACCGACACCCAGAUAAACUCCACAUGGAGACAUUUCGAAGGUCAAAUAAGGUAUACAAUGCUGAACUGAAUGUCGUUACAUAUUGCCAGAACAGAACAGCUAUUGAAGACAAAUCGAAGUUUCGAAUACUUCUUGUGAGUCAUUUCACUUUGAAUUUGUAAAUGCAUCACAUUAAGGGCAAACCGAUAAAUUUCCACUUUUAGCCUUCUUAUUAUACUAUAUAUUAAUUUGCAUCACUAGCUACAAUGGAGACAAUAGUCUUUUUUUUAUGUAAACAAAGCACAAGACCUGAAAAAAGCAUCAAAUUUGAUGAUUCAAUGUGUGACCUUAUCCUUAUUGAUUAAUGUUUUAGCUGCACAAAAUUUUCGCUCAGCCUCUCUAAAAGGUACUAUGAUUCCUCAUCAAAUGGGAUUAGAUUAUUUGGUUGAUUAAGAAUUAGAGAUCGGUUUAUGAUUCUUGAAUCUUUAUUAAUAUGAUGCAGGAAUUGAACCAUUUAUGAACCUUCACUAUAUCAAGUUUCCUCAAGAAUUUGAAGACAGAUGCGCUUCUUGAUUAAUAUGAUGCAAGAAUCCAUUCACAUUUUUUUUAUAACAUCAAUUAAUGGUGAUAUCAUUCGACUUUGACGGACGAAAUUACAAGAAUACAUAAUAUAACUUAGGAUCUUGACCUGUAACAAAAUUGUACAUACCCCAUAUGGAACACUUGAAAAUAGUAAAAUUUGAUUGAUUGGCUUUGAGACACAAUGCAUGGGAGCUUUCGAACAAAUAAAGGCUAAACAAAAGGUGCUUAGAGGAAAGUAUUCAACGAGUGGAAAGAAGUCAGGAGCUAACUUUCCUAUGGUUAAAACAUAAAGCAAAAAUUGAGAAUUUAGACAUGGAUGGUUGGUUCCAAUUGGGUGUUAAUGUAAUCGAAAUCUAACUUUGAUGUAAUCUGGGUCUUCUCUUAGCCACUUGCUAUGAGAGGCAUGUUCUAAUGAGAUUGCUGCCUUCAUUGUAGUUU
Molecule: long non-coding RNA, 2263 nt
Organism: Helianthus annuus (common sunflower)
Lineage: Eukaryota; Viridiplantae; Streptophyta; Magnoliopsida; Asterales; Asteraceae
Exons: 9
Source: RefSeq, a predicted model, not a curated record